GUGAAGCAGAGCUUGCUCUGUGGAUCAGUGGCGAACGGGUGAGUAACACGUGAGCAAUCUGCCCCUGACUCUGGGAUAAGCGCUGGAAACGGCGUCUAAUACCGGAUACGAGCUGCGACCGCAUGGUCAGUAGCUGGAAAGAAUUUCGGUCAGGGAUGAGCUCGCGGCCUAUCAGCUUGUUGGUGAGGUAAUGGCUCACCAAGGCGUCGACGGGUAGCCGGCCUGAGAGGGUGACCGGCCACACUGGGACUGAGACACGGCCCAGACUCCUACGGGAGGCAGCAGUGGGGAAUAUUGCACAAUGGGCGCAAGCCUGAUGCAGCAACGCCGCGUGAGGGAUGACGGCCUUCGGGUUGUAAACCUCUUUUAGCAGGGAAGAAGCGAAAGUGACGGUACCUGCAGAAAAAGCGCCGGCUAACUACGUGCCAGCAGCCGCGGUAAUACGUAGGGCGCAAGCGUUAUCCGGAAUUAUUGGGCGUAAAGAGCUCGUAGGCGGUCUGUCGCGUCUGCUGUGAAAACCCGAGGCUCAACCUCGGGCCUGCAGUGGGUACGGGCAGACUAGAGUGCGGUAGGGGAGAUUGGAAUUCCUGGUGUAGCGGUGGAAUGCGCAGAUAUCAGGAGGAACACCGAUGGCGAAGGCAGAUCUCUGGGCCGUAACUGACGCUGAGGAGCGAAAGGGUGGGGAGCAAACAGGCUUAGAUACCCUGGUAGUCCACCCCGUAAACGUUGGGAACUAGUUGUGGGGUCCAUUCCACGGAUUCCGUGACGCAGCUAACGCAUUAAGUUCCCCGCCUGGGGAGUACGGCCGCAAGGCUAAAACUCAAAGGAAUUGACGGGGACCCGCACAAGCGGCGGAGCAUGCGGAUUAAUUCGAUGCAACGCGAAGAACCUUACCAAGGCUUGACAUAUAGAGGAAACGUCUGGAAACAGUCGCCCCGCAAGGUCUCUAUACAGGUGGUGCAUGGUUGUCGUCAGCUCGUGUCGUGAGAUGUUGGGUUAAGUCCCGCAACGAGCGCAACCCUCGUUCUAUGUUGCCAGCACGUAAUGGUGGGAACUCAUGGGAUACUGCCGGGGUCAACUCGGAGGAAGGUGGGGAUGACGUCAAAUCAUCAUGCCCCUUAUGUCUUGGGCUUCACGCAUGCUACAAUGGCCGGUACAAAGGGCUGCAAUACCGUGAGGUGGAGCGAAUCCCAAAAAGCCGGUCCCAGUUCGGAUUGAGGUCUGCAACUCGACCUCAUGAAGUCGGAGUCGCUAGUAAUCGCAGAUCAGCAACGCUGCGGUGAAUACGUUCCCGGGUCUUGUACACACCGCCCGUCAAGUCAUGAAAGUCGGUAACACCUGAAGCCGGUGGCCCAACCCUUGUGGAGGGAGCCGUCGAA
RNAcentral lists this ribosomal RNA (1379 nucleotides) under Cellulosimicrobium cellulans. RNAcentral describes it as "bacterial SSU rRNA". It matches the Rfam family "Bacterial small subunit ribosomal RNA". The record is from RNAcentral. Lineage: Bacteria; Bacillati; Actinomycetota; Actinomycetes; Micrococcales; Promicromonosporaceae.